Molecule: ribosomal RNA, 497 nt
Filed under: uncultured bacterium
Lineage: Bacteria
Description: partial 16S ribosomal RNA
Rfam family: Bacterial small subunit ribosomal RNA
Source: RNAcentral
GAUGAACGAUGGCGGCGUGCCUAAUACAUGCAAGUCGAGCGAACGGACGAGAAGCUUGCUUCUCUGAUGUUAGCGGCGGACGGGUGAGUAACACGUGGAUAACCUACCUAUAAGACUGGGAUAACUUCGGGAAACAGGAGCUAAUACCGGAUAAUAUUUUGAACCGCAUGGUUCAAAAGUGAAAGACGGUCUUGCUGUCACUUAUAGCUGGAUCAGCGCUGCAUUAGCUAGUUGGUAAGGUAACGGCUUACCAAGGCAACGAUGGAUAGCCGACCCGAGAGGGACGACGGCUACAUUGGAACUGAGACUGGGCCCCGACACUGAGGCGGAGAAGCGGCCGAGAAUCUUACGCGAGGCAGGAGUGCCGGACGUUGCAACGUCGCGGGAGGGAUGAUGCAGUUCUGACGCGAGAAUUAUGAUAUCAGUAAAGUUGUUAUGUGUUUGUAACCGUGAUGAUCAUGACGGUACCGAGUCAGAAAGCCACGGCUAACUACGUG